RNAcentral lists this long non-coding RNA (325 nucleotides) under Marmota monax (woodchuck). The record is from RNAcentral. Lineage: Eukaryota; Metazoa; Chordata; Mammalia; Rodentia; Sciuridae.
GGGAUGGGGAGGAGGUAGAAUGAGACGGACACUACUACCCUACAGACGUGUGUGAGGACACCACUGGAGUGACCGCCCCGGGUGCAGCCAGAGGAAGAAGAAGCUGUGCUCCAUUUGUGAACAAUGUGUCAAAACGCAUUCUACUGUCACAUCUAACUAAAUAGAACAAAUUAAAAUAAACUUUAAAAAAAAAGGGAGGCUGGAGAUAUAGCUCAGAGGUACAGCGCUUGCCUAGCAGGCAUGAGGCCUGGGGUUUGAUCCCCAGAACCACGAAAAAUGGUGGGGAGAAUCCAUGAACACAUACAACAAAGGGCAGACUUCCUUC